This 221-nucleotide long non-coding RNA is filed under the name Lathyrus oleraceus (garden pea). RNAcentral describes it as "Pisum sativum (pea) long non-coding RNA (PSAT_LNC023770)". Lineage: Eukaryota; Viridiplantae; Streptophyta; Magnoliopsida; Fabales; Fabaceae. The record is from RNAcentral.
GAGAGUGUUCCAUGCAAUGCGGGCAUCCCAUUUUUCCAUGUGUUCCCCCAACCGGACAACAUGCCAUAUGCGGGAAAGUCGUUUAUAGUCCACAUCAAGGCUGCUCGCAUAGUAAAGUUUUGUUUGCAAGAUAUAUCAUAAGUCCAUUCUCCAAUCCAUAACCUCUUCAAAUCAUCAAUUAAAGGUUGUAAAUACACAUCUAUUCCAGCUUUUGGACUCUU